UUAAGUAGGGCUCUAAAAACUAAUUUCACGCAGUUCUUUAACAGUUGUAAAGUGACAUAAAAUUAUAAAUACUCUACAGUUGUAAACCAAAAUAGUUCUUCAGUAUUUGCACCUGUUAUUUUCCACCGACGUUGCUCUUAAAGGUUAAAAGUAUUUAGAAGAGGAUUCACUGUUAAUCCACAUCUGUUCGCUUCUCCAAACUUCUCCACAUCUGUGUCCACACACCCCCGAACCACACAGGCGAUUAUCUCCGUCAGUAUUUUUCUCUGCCUGUUACUUUAAGAACCAAGUUACACCGACACUUCAGCUACUCACCCCGACAGGAUACUUAAAAAAAGAAAGAGCAGGAGCGGGUUUUAAUUCCGGUGCCACAGAAGGAAAUAGUCUUAUUCCGGCGCUUUCUCUUUUCAGCGCAGAUCCGAGUAGUAGCUCCUCUCGCUCCCUUCGUCUUUCCCCCUGGCUCUGCACGUCCAGCCGGAACACACGUUAGACCAUCAGAAACGCAGUGUGCGUGUGGAAGAGGUGUCCAUGGCUGCGCUGCACACAGUGGCCACCGUGCGCAGGAGACAUGGAGAGGAGUUUACGCACGGUCCGUGGAUGAAAUGGGAAGUCACAGAGCUGAGUGGACAGAAGGGCCGCCCAGAGAAAGUCCCCACAGGUCGCUUCCCGGCACACAGCAUCACUCAAAACUCCACAAUAGACCGGACACAGCUUACGUGCAACUGAACUGCCGAUGUGGUCAGUGUUGACAUGUAAGGUUGACGGAGGGUAAAUAGAUCUUUGUUUUCAAUAAAAGAGAAAUUUGCAUUUGAUUAAAUCUUAACAAAUUGAGUGACAAAACCAUAUUUUUCUUUUAAAGUCCCAUUUUUCAUUUUCUGAUUUUCCUUUCAGUGCAGGAGUUCAACUAAGACGAUAGGAUUGAGAACGCAGAACAUCCUGCGUUACGUUCCCCGGUCGAGAGAACGAGAAGAUGGACUGAGGUAAAGUCCAGCUGUUGUGAUUGUGUCCCAUCAGUCUGUCCUUUCUUCAGAUCUCAGCUCCAUCAGUUCUUCCAGUUGGAGUAAGGGAGCAGACAAGGAGGCUUCGCACCAUCGCAUCAGUUCCAGGUCCGGGGCAGGUUCUCGAGGAUCCUGCGUCGGUGCGAAGGGUUCGUCACUCCCGCGGCUCGUAGGUCCUCCUCAGUGAUGCCGCUGUGGAGAAAUGGCAGAGAAAACAUUUUAUUUUAAAACAUUUGCAUGAUGAAAUUUUGUCAAUGUCGAUAAUGUCAGCAUCUUGUUAUCCUGUAGAUGUACAAUACACACAAUACAGUAUAUAACACAAGGGAAUACUGGAUUAGUUAAUGUGCACUGUGUUCUCAUUUCAAAAUCAAUAGGCACAAGUGUUUAAAAGGAACAGUUUUUGUUGGCUGUACGGAUUCCCUCUCUUCGCUUGUCCUAUGUGAACGAUGGGGGUUACAAAUCCAGCCCUCACUCAACACCACAGAACGAAUUACUCAGCCUAUCUGGAGUGAAUAUGAGGCUUCAACAGUCUGAGUUAAUCAGAUCAACAGGGUAUCUCAAAAGGUUACAGCCGGUUCGUAUGAAAUUGCCUCUUUGUGUUGCUUCCCCUCGGCGGCUCAACACAGAAACACUGUCAGGGGGAGAAACGGGGGAAGUUACUGACUUGAUCCAUCUAAGUCGGGCGGCUGCAGCCUCAAAUUAACCUCAGAUCAAAUUUAAAAGGACGAUGGAUUUUGCCCCUCAUUGUUUACACAGUAAGGCAACAGGAGGGAGAGUUAGAGCAGGAAGGGUUUUAUUUAUUUAUCUAUUUUUUUUAUUUAAUCAAUUUACAUCUCACUUAAGUUGUAACUGCAAAGCUGACAGUAUUUAAUUGAAGUCAUCAGACCCACAUGAGCAUGACUGUCACGUGAACUAAUUGGAUCCGGCCUUCUACUGAUGUUUGAAUCUGUCUUGUGUGUAUUUUACUCUGGUCAUGUAUCGUAUAGUUUUAUUCUGGUUUUAAAUAUGUACACAAAUUGAAGAAUAAACUGAAUGAAAUGA
Long non-coding RNA from Pleuronectes platessa (European plaice), 2039 nucleotides. RefSeq lists it as uncharacterized. NCBI's taxonomy places the organism in Eukaryota, Metazoa, Chordata, Actinopteri, Pleuronectiformes, Pleuronectidae. The record is from RefSeq and is a predicted model, not a curated record. The transcript is spliced from 2 exons.